This 484-nucleotide ribosomal RNA is filed under the name uncultured bacterium. Its description in RNAcentral is "partial 16S ribosomal RNA". It matches the Rfam family "Bacterial small subunit ribosomal RNA", at positions 30 to 507 of the family's 1533-position model. The record is from RNAcentral.
AUUGAACGCUGGCGGCAGGCCUAACACAUGCAAGUCGAGCGGAUGAAGGGAGCUUGCUCCUGGAUUCAGCGGCGGACGGGUGAGUAAUGCCUAGGAAUCUGCCUGGUAGUGGGGGAUAACGUCCGGAAACGGGCGCUAAUACCGCAUACGUCCUGAGGGAGAAAGUGGGGGAUCUUCGGACCUCACGCUAUCAGAUGAGCCUAGGUCGGAUUAGCUAGUUGGUGGGGUAAAGGCCUACCAAGGCGACGAUCCGUAACUGGUCUGAGAGGAUGAUCAGUCACAAUGGAACUGAGACACGGGCCAGACGCCUACGGGAGGCAGCAGUGGGGAAUAUUGGACAAUGGGCGAAAGCCUGAGCCAGCCAUGCCGCGUGUGUGAAGAAGGUCUUCGGAUUGUAAAGCACUUUAAGUUGGGAGGAAGGGCAGUAAGUUAAUACCUUGCUGUUUUGACGGUACCAACAGAAGAAGCACCGGCUAACUUCGUG